CCUAAACUUGCCGCUAUUUUUUACUAAAUUUACACAUGCAAGCAUCCACAUACCAGUGAAAAUGCCCACCAAGUCGAAAAGACAAAUGGAGCAGGUAUCAGGCACAAUUGUUUAGCCAAUGACACCUUGCCAUGCCACAUCCCCACGGAUUUACAGCAGUGAUUAAUAUUAGAUAUAAGCGAAAGCUUGAUCUAGUUAUAGUAAGCUUCAAGGGCCGGUAAAUUUCGUGCCAGCCACCGCGGUUAUACGAAAGACCCAAAAUAGUGCCACCCGGCGUAAAGCGUGGUUAGAAUUUACCCAAAUAAGGAAAAACAUCUUCUCCGCUGUAAAACGCUUAAGAAGUUAGAA
Molecule: ribosomal RNA, 348 nt
Filed under: Smaug warreni
Lineage: Eukaryota; Metazoa; Chordata; Lepidosauria; Squamata; Cordylidae
Description: partial 12S ribosomal RNA
Source: RNAcentral